This is a non-coding RNA of Ictidomys tridecemlineatus (thirteen-lined ground squirrel), 1112 nucleotides long. The record is from RefSeq and is a predicted model, not a curated record. NCBI's taxonomy places the organism in Eukaryota, Metazoa, Chordata, Mammalia, Rodentia, Sciuridae.
CUCAACCCCACAGUGACAUGCCCAGGCCUGAAGACACGCCUUUGACUUCCUGUGCUGGGACAACACCAAGUCACCAUGAAGUGCAGUGAUCAGUCAGAGCCUCCGGCUUCAGGACUGGAGGCGGGGGUCAUUCAGAGUGGCUCCCCACACCUGGCAGCCCCUGGACAGCAGCCAGGCUGAAAUGGUUGGAGCUUGGCCAGAUCAGACGUUCAGCCCUGGGCCUUUCCCCCCAGCACUCUCUGAAGUUUAGACCUUCAAGAUUUCAAAAGGAGGAGUUGGGUUGUAUGGUCUCCUUAAGUUGGUGAGGCUGGCUUUGAACUUGCCGUCCUCCUGCCUCAGCCUCCCGACUUGCUGGGAAUAUAGGUGUGUGGCCCCGUGCCUGGCUAAGUGACUCUUUGCCAGUCGGCACCCUCCUCUGUUAGCUGGGAUUAAUCGCUCUGCCCAGCUGCAACAGGAUUCCCUGGAAAACCAGUGGAGGUAACAGAAUAGAAAGAAGGAAAGAGGGCCAGAAGCCACACCAGGCCAGUGCUGGGGCUGCGCUGGCUCUCGGAGCAGUACUGGAGUACAUCCGACUCCUCCAAACGUUCCUCCUGCUCUGUGAGCUCCAGACUCCGGUCUGGAAUCAGGAUGUUUGGCUGAGCUUCUGGCAGGUUCUUCCUGCCCUCCUCCCCACACUGUUCCAGGAUGGGUAGGUGCUAUAUCUGAUCCCCUUCAUUUCCUUACUGGGAGGAGGCAAGGAAAGCAGGCACUGGGAGCUGUUCUCUUGCCAAGAUUACACAGAAUGGAGAAUUCCACAAGAGGAACAUGUGGUGCUUGUGGAGGGGGGGAUUCUGGGAAGUCAGAGAAAUCACAGCUCUGUUAACUUGCAUGAGACUUCAGAUGUCUGAGGACCGGCCCUCUGGACCUGAGUUAAAGCAUUUGUGCAUCUCCUCGGGGUAGACACUCUCACUCUGGCCAGUCUCGAGCUACCGGGAUGACAUCACUGAACACAGCUGGGAAGAGAGAGAUUUCAUCAGGAACCAUCUCCACCAUGCAGCAACCACAGAGGCAGAAGUGGGAAAUGUUUAGGAAGCAAGAGUCUUGAGCCUGUAUUAUAUUUUUGUUAACACUUA